AAUCGCGAUUGAGAAGGCGAGC
RNAcentral lists this microRNA (22 nucleotides) under Apis mellifera (honey bee). Its description in RNAcentral is "ame-miR-3801-5p". Lineage: Eukaryota; Metazoa; Arthropoda; Insecta; Hymenoptera; Apidae. The record is from miRBase by way of RNAcentral.